GGUGACAGGAAGACAGGUGGUGCAUGGUUGUCGUCAGCUCGUGUCGUGAGAUGUUGGGUUAAGUCCCGCAACGAGCGCAACCCUUAUUGUUAGUUGCUACCAUUUAUUUGAGCACUCUAGCGAGACUGCCCGGGUUAACCGGGAGGAAGGUGGGGAUGACGUCAAAUCAUCAUGCCCCUUAUGUCUAGGGCUACACACGUGCUACAAUGGCUGGUACAGAGAGAUGCUAAACCGCGAGGUGGAGCCAAACUUUAAAACCAGUCUCAGUUCGGAUUGUAGGCUGAAACUCGCCUACAUGAAGCUGGAGUUGCUAGUAAUCGCGAAUCAGAAUGUCGCGGUGAAUACGUUCCCGGGCCUUGUACACACCGCCCGUCACACCAUGAGAGUUGGCAAUACCCAAAGUUCGUGAGCUAACCCGUAAGGGAGGCAGCGACCUAAGGUAGGGUCAGCGAUUGGGGUGAAGUCGUAACAAGGUAGCCGUAGGAGAACCUGCGGCUGGAUCACCUC
RNAcentral lists this ribosomal RNA (507 nucleotides) under uncultured bacterium. RNAcentral's name for it is "bacterial SSU rRNA". It matches the Rfam family "Bacterial small subunit ribosomal RNA", at positions 1022 to 1529 of the family's 1533-position model. The record is from RNAcentral.